Long non-coding RNA from Pan troglodytes (chimpanzee), 258 nucleotides. RefSeq lists it as uncharacterized. NCBI's taxonomy places the organism in Eukaryota, Metazoa, Chordata, Mammalia, Primates, Hominidae. The record is from RefSeq and is a predicted model, not a curated record. The transcript has 2 exons.
GGGAAACAUUGUGAAAGUUACCCAAAGAGAAGAAAAUGUGUUUAUGAUGAAGUUGCUGUCAUCCAGAAACUUAUAAUCAAGUUGUGUGCCUACUGGACACAAAAUUUAAAGCCUCUACGAAUUUUCAAAGAAAACAUCAAUGAUUAGGGGGAUAUAAGCAAAUGUUUUUAUGGUCCUUGAAGAAGUUUCACAUCAAACAUGUAACACAGCAAAUGAUCCUGAAAACAAACAAACAAAUUAAAAACAAACCUCACCUCA